ACCCACAUAAAGUGGGUAUGCCACUUUAAGAGAAGAGGUUAAGGAAGCUGGGUGGUCUGCCUGGCCAAUGAGAAGUUUGGUUUCCAGAGCGUCUGGACCAAUCAGGGUGCAGGCUGCCGUUGUGGAUCCCGCCCUUCUCCCCCGGGUCUGCAGUACCGUUGGCUUUGCUCUAGAGAUCCGACGCGGUGAGACUGCUGAGCGGGGCAGCGCCAGAAGCCGUUAGGAAUCGUUGGCUCUUUCUGGCAGUUAUUUCAGCUUGUUCUUCGUAGAUAAAAGUGCCCCACGCAUCCGGAUUGAGACCCACUAUACGGUUGUCUGAAGUGUGUCGCACUGAGAUCGGUCAGGUUUUUUUUUAUACUGGAUCAUUCCUGAAGUGGAUCCCUCCUUUGAUAUUGAUGGCGAGCCUUCCCACCUGGACCUAAAGAGAGAACCAGAUUUCGUCUAUCCCAUUUGGAGUCAUGCUGCACCCUGCGGUGUGGUAGGAGAGCAACAUACAUCUUC
Long non-coding RNA from Xiphophorus hellerii (green swordtail), 501 nucleotides. RefSeq lists it as uncharacterized. The record is from RefSeq and is a predicted model, not a curated record. The transcript has 4 exons. NCBI's taxonomy places the organism in Eukaryota, Metazoa, Chordata, Actinopteri, Cyprinodontiformes, Poeciliidae.